GUAGGUGGCAAGCGUUGUCCGGAAUUAUUGGGCGUAAAGCGCGCGCAGGUGGUUCGUUUAAGUCUGAUGUGAAAGACCCCCGGGCUCAACCGGGGAGGGUCAUUGGAAACUGGGGAACUUGAGUGCAGGAGAGGAAAGUGGAAUUCCACGUGUAGCGGUGAAAUGCGUAGAUAUGUGGAGGAACACCAGUGGCGAAGGCGACUUUCUGGCCUGUAACUGACACUGAGGCGCGAAAGCGUGGGGAGCAAACAGGAUUAGAUACCCUGGUAGUCCACGCCGUAAACGAUGAGUGCUAAGUGUUCGGGGGGGUUUCCGCCCCUCAGUGCUGCAGCUAACGCAUUAAGCACUCCGCCUGGGGAGUACGGCCGCAAAGACUG
This 377-nucleotide ribosomal RNA is filed under the name uncultured organism. Its description in RNAcentral is "partial 16S ribosomal RNA". It matches the Rfam family "Bacterial small subunit ribosomal RNA", at positions 527 to 896 of the family's 1533-position model. The record is from RNAcentral.